This 834-nucleotide ribosomal RNA is filed under the name Triticum aestivum (bread wheat). Its description in RNAcentral is "partial small subunit ribosomal RNA". The record is from RNAcentral. Lineage: Eukaryota; Viridiplantae; Streptophyta; Magnoliopsida; Poales; Poaceae.
AUGAAAAUCACAAAGUCUGGCAAUCUGGUUCUCUUCAACCAAAAGAACUCACCAGUCUGGCAGUCGUUCGAUCACCCAACUGAUGCUAUGCUUCCCCGGCAGCCAUUAAUGGAAGGGGUGAAGCUGACGCCCAGCAUUGACAACGCGACGCUGAUUAAAAUGAUUGGGUUCUGUGCGGACAAAACAAACAGGCUCUUGGUUUACGAGUACAUGUCUGGAGGGUCACUGGACAAGUGGAUCUAUUCCAACAGAUCUGGUAGCAAUGCCCCUCUUGAUUGGUGCGUAAGGCGUAGGAUCAUCACAGAUAUUGCCAGGGGCUUAUGCUACCUUCACGAAGGGUGCAAGCAGCGAAUUGCUCAUCUAGAUAUUAAACCACAGAACAUCCUCUUAGAUGAUAACUUCAAUGCUAAAGUUGCAGACUUUGGGCUAUCCAAGCUGAUAGAUAGGGAAGAGAGUCGUGUGGUGACACGAAUGAGAGGAACACCUGGAUACAUGGCACCCGAAUGGCUGACAUCGAAAAUCACCGAGAAGGUCGAUGUUUACAGUUUUGGCAUUGUGGUCAUGGAAAUCUUAAGUGGAAGAAAGAACAUCGACUACUCUCAGCCCGAUGAGGGUGCUCAGCUCAUUAUGGUACUACGAGAGAAGGCUAUGAAUUCUCAACUGGAAGAUAUGAUCGAUAGGAGCAGCCAAGAUAUGCACUUAUGCAACAAGGAGGAAGUGAUUGAGAUCAUGAGGCUUGCAAUGUGGUGUUUGCAGAGUGACAGCAACAGAAGGCCUUCCAUGUCAGUGGUGGUGAAGGUCAUGGAAGGAAAAAGAAAUGUGGAAUCAGACUUA